Mytilus californianus (California mussel) is the source of this 552-nucleotide long non-coding RNA. RefSeq lists it as uncharacterized. The transcript is spliced from 2 exons. The record is from RefSeq and is a predicted model, not a curated record. Lineage: Eukaryota; Metazoa; Mollusca; Bivalvia; Mytilida; Mytilidae.
ACCAUGGUUAUUACGGCGGAUACGGGUCAGACUUUGAAUUUGGCGGAUAUGACAAUGAAAAUAUCGGAUAUGGAAACGGAAACGAUUUCGAAGAAAGCUGGGGAAAUGGAUACGGUGAGGGACAUGGUUUGAUCAGCAUUGGAAAAGGAUACGGUAUUGGCGGAGGAUAUGGAAAUGGAUACGGUGAAGGACAUGGUUUGAUCAGUAUUGGAAAAGGAUACGGUAUUGGCGGAGGAUAUGGAAAUGGAUACGGUGAAGGACAUGGUUUGAUCAGUAUUGGAAAAGGAUACGGUAUUGGCGGAGGAUAUGGAAAUGGAUACGGUGAAGGACAUGGUUUGAUCAGUGUUGGAAAAGGACACAGUAUUGGGGGAGGUUACGGUGGUAUCAGUGGAGGAAAAGGAAAAUAUGGUCUCUAUUGAGGAGAAUCAUAGCCAUCCUUGAAUCCAGAACAAUUCAAAAGUGCUACAAAUUACAGAACCAUAAAGACUGUCGUACGGUCAAAAUCGACCUUACUUCAAAUCUGAUUAAAUUAUAAUAAAAUUAUUUAGAGAA